AUACUUAUCAAAAGGUCAGGGGAGAUACCAUGAUCAGGAAGGUGGUUUUCCCAAGGCAAGGCUUAUCCAUUCCACCACAGAUGGGCUGACUCCUGCAAUUUCUCCAAAUGUGGGAAACUCAACCCCAUAAUUUGUGAAAAUGGAGAACUGCUAUCAUGCUCUUCCCUG
This is a small nuclear RNA of Otolemur garnettii (small-eared galago), 168 nucleotides long. Its record names the gene U1. It matches the Rfam family "U1 spliceosomal RNA". Rfam says of the family: U1 is a small nuclear RNA (snRNA) component of the spliceosome (involved in pre-mRNA splicing). Its 5' end forms complementary base pairs with the 5' splice junction, thus defining the 5' donor site of an intron. There are significant differences in sequence and secondary structure between metazoan and yeast U1 snRNAs, the latter being much longer (568 nucleotides as compared to 164 nucleotides in human). The record is from Ensembl. NCBI's taxonomy places the organism in Eukaryota, Metazoa, Chordata, Mammalia, Primates, Galagidae.